CCUGCCCGGGAGAUCGGGAUAACAGUUCGAAAGGGCUGCUAAUACCGGAUGAUAUCUUUUCUUUUCGGAGGGAAGAUCAAAGCGUUUAGCGCUCUCGGAUGGGCCCGCGUCCCAUUAGUUAGUUGGUGGGGUAAUGGCCUACCAAGGCAGCGAUGGGUAGCCGGUCUGAGAGGAUGUUCGGCCACACUGGGACUGAGACACGGCCCAGACUCCUACGGGAGGCAGCAGUGGGGAAUUUUGCGCAAUGGGGGAAACCUUGACGCAGCGACGCCGCGUGAGUGAUGAAGGCCUUCGGGUUGUAAAGCUCUGUUGGGGGGGAAGAUAGUGACGGUACCCCCUGAGGAAACCCCGGCUAACUACGUGCCAGCAGCCGCGGUAAGACGUAGGGGGCGAGCGUUGUCCGGAAUUACUGGGCGUAAAGGGCGUGUAAGCGGCUUUUCAAGUCGGCUGUGAAAUUCCUUGGCUUAACUGAGGGUGUGCAGUCGAAACUGAUGGGCUUGAGUGCAGGAGAGGGUGGUGGAAUUCCCGGUGUAGCGGUGACAUGCGUAGAUAUCGGGAGGAACACCGGUGGCGAAGGCGGCCUCCUGGCCUGUUACUGACGCUGAGGCGCGAAAGCCGGGGGAGCAAACAGGAUUAGAUACCCUGGUAGUCCCGGCCGUAAACUCUGGGUACUA
This 674-nucleotide ribosomal RNA is filed under the name uncultured bacterium. RNAcentral's name for it is "bacterial SSU rRNA". It matches the Rfam family "Bacterial small subunit ribosomal RNA", at positions 125 to 818 of the family's 1533-position model. The record is from RNAcentral.